GCCUGACUGGCUUAGUUGGUAGAGCAUGAAACUCUUGAUCUUGGGGUUGUGAGUUCGAGCCCCACAUUGGGUG
This 73-nucleotide transfer RNA is filed under the name Ailuropoda melanoleuca (giant panda). It matches the Rfam family "tRNA". Rfam says of the family: Transfer RNA (tRNA) molecules are approximately 80 nucleotides in length. Their secondary structure includes four short double-helical elements and three loops (D, anti-codon, and T loops). Further hydrogen bonds mediate the characteristic L-shaped molecular structure. tRNAs have two regions of fundamental functional importance: the anti-codon, which is responsible for specific mRNA codon recognition, and the 3' end, to which the tRNAs corresponding amino acid is attached (by aminoacyl-tRNA synthetases). tRNAs cope with the degeneracy of the genetic code in two manners: having more than one tRNA (with a specific anti-codon) for a particular amino acid; and 'wobble' base-pairing, i.e. permitting non-standard base-pairing at the 3rd anti-codon position. Lineage: Eukaryota; Metazoa; Chordata; Mammalia; Carnivora; Ursidae. The record is from Rfam by way of RNAcentral.